This 333-nucleotide long non-coding RNA is filed under the name Bos indicus x Bos taurus (hybrid cattle). RNAcentral's name for it is "lncRNA (ENSBIXG00005017548.1)". The record is from RNAcentral. Lineage: Eukaryota; Metazoa; Chordata; Mammalia; Artiodactyla; Bovidae.
GGUUCUGCGAGGGGAGAGGUGGGGCUGGCUGGAGGCACACAGAAUCAGGACCUUACCAAUUAUGAGAUUUGCUGUUCCGCGUUCUCCACUAGGCAUUUGGACUCAGAACAUUCACUGCCUCAGGGGACAGACGACCCACCAGAAGUUAGAAGUUGGUUCUUGUCUUCUGAGUGUCAAACACUGAUGCCUGUGUUUGGAGGAUCUGGGAACAGAGAGGACCUCCCCGUCCCCAGGCUAGAGGCUGAGGAGUUGGAAAAGACUCCAGUCUAUUCCCAGAGCAAGUGUAGCAUUGACUGCCUGGAGACUCAGAGCACAGUCCUAGGGCAGCCUUGA